Delphinapterus leucas (beluga whale) is the source of this 244-nucleotide non-coding RNA. The record is from RefSeq and is a predicted model, not a curated record. Lineage: Eukaryota; Metazoa; Chordata; Mammalia; Artiodactyla; Monodontidae.
CUGACGGCGCCAUCCAGAAACCAAGACCAAACAGUGCUUCAUAUAGAAGCUGCUCCACUAUCCAGGAUCCCAGGACAAAGACAACAUGGAGUAAAGCCAUGGCCAGCUCAGGAUGCAUAUGUCGCAUGAGACCGGAAGUGGUGUAUGAAUUUUCCAGAGCUGCUGUAACAAAGUACCACAAACUAGGCGGCUGAAUCCAACGGAAAUGUAUCGCUUCACAGUCCUGGAAGCUAGAAGUCUGAAA